GUCUCCUCCGGAGAUAUUCCUCUCAUGGGAGCCAUCAAGUCGAAGCAGUUGUACUCCUUGAGGAUCUGAAAGAGGGGGAAAAGAGAAACACAUGAAGCCGAAUCUAACAUGAAGUCUUGCAUCCGACAGAGAUUUUUGAAGAAGCAGGUGGCCUCCGUCUGCAGCAGCUCCCAUAUCGCCUCCUGCUGGUGGAACUGUCGCCUCGUCAGUGUCUGCACACACAAAGGCACACAUCAUGUUAUUAAAUAUAACAGAGAUAUUCCCAGAUUCUUUUAUUUUACAGCAGUCAUGACUUUGAUUGUAUUUUCAUUCCUGUAGAAGUCAAACUUUGAAUGGAUUUCACUGAAACUCUUUUUUAAAUUAAUGAUUUGGUCUCACAUGCAGAAGUGUUUAUCACUGACAUUUUGGAUUUUUAGCAACAAAUUCUUUGUCAAAGAUUAAUAGUAAGAAAAAAUGUUUUGUAAACAUACACAGCAAAAAUAAAAAAUAAAGCAAACAAAA
Molecule: long non-coding RNA, 501 nt
Organism: Dicentrarchus labrax (European seabass)
Lineage: Eukaryota; Metazoa; Chordata; Actinopteri; Moronidae
Exons: 2
Source: RefSeq, a predicted model, not a curated record